Molecule: ribosomal RNA, 434 nt
Filed under: uncultured bacterium
Lineage: Bacteria
Description: partial 16S ribosomal RNA
Rfam family: Bacterial small subunit ribosomal RNA
Source: RNAcentral
AGCGAACGCUGGCGGCAGGCCUAACACAUGCAAGUCGAACGAACCUUUCGGGGUUAGUGGCGGACGGGUGGGUAACACGUGGGAACGUGCCCUUAGGUUCGGAAUAACUCAGGGAAACUUGUGCUAAUACCGAAUGUGCCCUUCGGGGGAAAGAUUAAUCGCCUUUAGAGCGGCCCGCGUCUGAUUAGCUAGUUGGUUGAGGUAAUGGCUCACCAAGGCGACGAUCAGUAGCUGGUCUGAGAGGAUGAUCAGCCACAUUGGGACUGAGACACGGCCCAAACUCCUACGGGAGGGAGCAGUGGGGAAUCUUGCGCAAUGGGCGAAAGCCUGACGCAGCCAUGCCGCGUGAAUGAUGAAGGUCUUAGGAUUGUAAAAUUCUUUCACCGGGGACGAUAAUGACGGUACCCGGAGAAGAAGCCCCGGCUAACUUCGUG